GAUGGUGGCACUCAGGAUCCUCUGUAAUGGCUGCAGGGGAUGCCGCCACCCCAAGUGAGGUUGGGCAGUCCUAUGUGAAAGAACCGCCCCCAGCAGCAAGACCACCACCUAGGAAAGAGUCCCAGGCUCCACCUGGAAUGGCAGCCACACCAUGGAUCCUUCCAGCUCAUCCAACUCCUGUUUCACUGUCGGCUCUGCCAGUCCUGGUGCUGUGGUGCUCCUCUACUCAAAGGAGCUCAAAAAGUGGGAUGUGUUUGAAGAUAUCUUAGAAGAGAGGAGGCAUGCCAGUGACUUGAAAUUUGCAAUGAAAUGCUACAUACCUCUUGUCUAUAAGGGAAUAAUUCCAAGUAAGCAGAUUGAUAUUAAAUGUAGUGCUCUGAAUUCUGAAGAGAUUAAUUAUGUUAUUAAACAGCUUUCCAAAGAAUCCCUUCAGUCUGCUGAUGCCCUCCGAGAGAAAGUUAGUGAGAUCUUGGAUGAAAUGAGUCACAAACUGCAUCUGGGAACCAUUCGGUUUUUUGCCUUCACCCUAAGCAAAAUAUUUAAACAAAUUUUUUCAAAGGUGUGCCUAAAUGAAGAAGGUAUUCAGAAACUACAACAAGCCAUUCAAGAACAUCCUGUUGUUCUGCUGCCUAGUCAUCGAAGUUACGUUGACUUUCUGAUAUUGUCUUUUCUUUUGUACAACUAUGAUUUUCCUGUGCCAGUUAUAGCAGCAGAAAUGGACUUCCUGGGGAUGAAAAUGGUUAGUGAAUUUUUGAAUUUUUCCCCUAAAGCACAAGAAGCAGCACUGCCUAGACAUUGCCUCCUAAAUUUGGUCUUCUGA
Molecule: RNA transcript, 820 nt
Organism: Carlito syrichta (Philippine tarsier)
Lineage: Eukaryota; Metazoa; Chordata; Mammalia; Primates; Tarsiidae
Gene name: dihydroxyacetone phosphate acyltransferase pseudogene
Exons: 1
Source: RefSeq, a predicted model, not a curated record